CCUACGGGUGGCAGCAGUAGGGAAUAUUGCUCAAUGGGGGAAACCCUGAAGCAGCAACGCCGCGUGGAGGAUGAAGGUUUUCGGAUUGUAAACUCCUUUUGGUAGAGGAGAUAAUGACGGUAUCUAACGAAUAAGCACCGGCUAACUCCGUUCCAGCAGCCGCGGUAAUACGGAGGGUGCAAGCGUUACUCGGAAUCACUGCGCGUAAAGAGGGCGUAGGCGGGAUAGCAAGUCAGAUGUGAAAUCCUAUGGCUUAACCAUAGAACUGCAGUUGAAACUGUUAUUCUAGAGUAGGGGAGAGGUAGGUGGAAUGCUUGGUGUAGGGGUAAAAUCCGUAGAGAUCAAGAGGAAUACUCAUUGCGAAGGCGACCUGCUAGAACAUAACUGACGCUGAUGCGCGAAAGCGUGGGGAGCAAACAGGAUUAGAUACCCCAGUAGUC
RNAcentral lists this ribosomal RNA (440 nucleotides) under uncultured bacterium. RNAcentral describes it as "partial 16S ribosomal RNA". It matches the Rfam family "Bacterial small subunit ribosomal RNA", at positions 338 to 795 of the family's 1533-position model. The record is from RNAcentral.